CCCGCACUGCGCCAUCAAAUGAGUCAAGCGGAAGGACCGGUACCCCUCCGGGAAAACCAGGCACUAACACACGGUGCACCCAACUGAAUUUAAACUCGGGAACAGUGUAGGCAGUGUCAACAAAGCGCGGUGCUGGGUCCCGAGCGUCCAAAGGUCCCUGCCAGCUCCCAGACGCGGCCAAAUCCACAGGAUUCCAAAAGUACAGACGGGGUUUCACCGUAUUAGCCAGGAUGGUCUCAAUCUUCUAACCUCGUGAUCUGCCCACCUCGGCCUCGCAAAGCGCUGGGAUUACAGGCGUGAGCCUCCGCGACCGGCCAGAACUAGCUCUUCUUAAGGAUGUGACAGUGAUCUGCACUAGAGCUUCAGGCAGCUAAGGAUAUCUGAAAAGGAGAGACUCUAUGGAGUGUGGAUGUAGAAAAGGAGUUAUUCCUACCGGAAAAAAAUGAACUGUGGACACAGUCACUCAAGACCAGAGAAACAACCACUAUGAGUAAGUAGCUUCAAUUUCACUGUUACCAGGAGGGCACACACCAGAAAGCCUGGGACAAAGCCUGGGCUAGAGCCCUCAGGAUUCAUUCUCAGGCUUCCUGGUGCUGUGGUUCAACAGCCUUUGUGGGGAUGGGGAGAACCAGAGACUAUCACCAUCACAUGUAAAAAAUAUUACCACAGCAACAGCUGUCAAAAACCAGCUGGAGCUGAAGUUACACACCAUUUGAAAUCCACACUGUACUUGCUUUCUUGUGAUGGGCUUGAGACAUGUGCAGAGACACCUUAAACAUGUGUAGGUGACCACCCUUUUGAAAGGCAGAGGAGGGCCUCUUCAUGAACUCUUUCUACUCAUUUGUUUUCCUAUCAGUUCACCAUUUCAACUAGAAAAGAUGCUGCAAGCUACCUCAGCUAGCUUCUAAUUUGGACACAGCACCAAUACUACACACACUAUUGAAUGAAUGACCACAUCUUCCUGGUUCUUCCAUUGGGCAGGGUCAAUAUGCUUCUUUGGACUGAAUAGGUGUGAUCUUGUUUGAGAAAAGUGUGUAAACGUAGGGCCAGAUUUUGUUCGUCUCCGUUCCGGAAAAUUGGUGGAGCACUCCUCGGCUCUUGUAUAAUUCAAUGACUGGCUUUGCCGCGUCUUUGUACUGUCUUAGCCUGGCAGCAACUGCUUCGGGUUUAUCAUCCUCCUGCUGGACUAAUGGUUCACCAGUGACGUCAUCAAUACCAUGUACAUGAGGUGGAUUGAAGUCCAGGUUAUAUACCCUUCCGCUAGGAGGGUGAAUCCAACGGCGGCUGAGACGAUCUUUAAGUGUUUCAAAUGGAAUAUUCAAACUGAUCACUAGAUCCACUUCACAGAUUUUGUCCAGGGCCUCGGCUUGUCCUAAUGUCCUAGGAAAACCAUCAAGGAGCCAGUGCUGGCCACGCCUAUUCUCCAACUCGGACAUCAUUAGGCGUGUGAUCACAUGGUCUGGAACCAAAAGACUUUUCUCUAUAUACUGCUUUGCCACCUCACCAACUUCGGUGCUGGCCUUGAUGUUCUCCCGCAAGAAGUGGCCGCUGGAGAGAUGCUGGAGACCAAAGUUCUGGGCGAUCCUCUGGCACACGGUGCCCUUGCCCGAGCCGGGCGGCCCGAGGAUGACCGCGCGCAGGAGUUUGGAAGCCAUUGCCUUCGCGAGGAGGGGGGCGGUCAAACGCGCAGCCCCGACCGCGGCCCCGGAGGGAGCCCCGGGAACUUUGUUUCUCGGCCCCCUACCUCUGGCACCCUCCGCUCUCACUGGGACUCGCCGGCCGGCCCUACAGGGGGAAGGCGGUCUUGAUUUCUUAAUCUCAUGCUUCAGUCUCCUCACCUGCAAAAUGAGAAUGGUGAUAAUAGGACCUACAUUAGGGAUGUGAUAUUGUGAAAUAUUUAUUUGGUCUUCCUACCAUCUCCUGGCAUAAAAUCUUUGGAAUCU
Molecule: long non-coding RNA, 1943 nt
Filed under: Homo sapiens (human)
Lineage: Eukaryota; Metazoa; Chordata; Mammalia; Primates; Hominidae
Description: HSALNT0367543
Source: RNAcentral